UUGCAGACCCAUGAGGAACUGCCUGCAAUUGACACCAAACAGCACACAAUAAAUUGCUAGAUAUUAAAACAUGAAAGCUACACAUUCAUGUAAGUGCAUGAAAAAGACAUCAACAGUACAGCAAUUUUAAAUUGUCAUAUUUCAAAAUACUCUGCAAAAUCUACUGGAAGAAUCUCAAUACCAUGUUUGGCUUAAUUUUUAGACUGACAUUAGCAGAAUUAAUAACAUGUUAGAAGAACAGUAACAAGAACAAGAAAAAGCAGUAUUAACUAAUUCAAAUUUACACAUCACUAGCUCUAUUGCCAAACUAAAAUGUUGGACAGUCGCAGGCACAUUAUUAGCUCUGGAGUAAUGAAUGUAAUUUACCUAUGCUCCUCCUCAGUCCACGG
RNAcentral lists this unclassified non-coding RNA (389 nucleotides) under Hevea brasiliensis (rubber tree). The record is from RNAcentral. Lineage: Eukaryota; Viridiplantae; Streptophyta; Magnoliopsida; Malpighiales; Euphorbiaceae.